UAUUGGCAAAGCCCGCCCAUACCUUCAUCUUCAUCCUCAUUCUCUCUCUCUCUCUCUCUCUAUCUCUCUGCCCAAAAACCAUUGUCAACGAAUACAGGUAGGGUUCUCUCCACCAUUGCCGUCUAAUUUUUCAAGCUGAGACGCCGCUCCACCAUUGCUGCCGACUUCUGCAAGAUUCGUUAGGCGUUCGCUCGCUCCUGUAUCGGUCGCAAGUCCAGAAGAUCGAGUCGUCGGCAGUCAUGGCCUCUUCCCUCACCGCUGGUGGUUCCCUCUUCCCUCGCCGCCAGUCGUUCCCUUUUCCCUCGCUGCCGGUUGUUCCAGCUCUAAGUAACCCCCCCCAUUCUCUCUCUCUCUGUUCAUUCGACAUAGAUGGCGUUUGUGGCUGUUAGUAUUCCUUCCUCUCUAAUAGAGUAUUCCUUCAUCUUUCACGCACAAUACUAUUUCAUGAAAUUCAGUUUUUUAUUUUUUAUUUGGCAUUACAUUUUGCUGAUAUUAUGUUCAGUUGUUAAUUUUUUUCCAGAUUUGAUGUUAAUUUUUAUUUAACAGUUGUUAAAAUUAAAAUUUCACUCAUUGAGAUGGUGUUUAUUUCUUCAUUAAUUGAAUAUGCUUGUAUAAGUUGCAGCUGUAAGAGGGUUGUAGGGGAGGAGGGUUUAUCUUGUUAUAUUGGCUCUAUUAGCUAAGAAUCAAAUUGGUCUUGCAUACUUCAUAAUUUUUAGGUUGUUAACUUGUGCAUUCUUUCUGAUAGCAUGGUUUUAACUUACAGCUUAUGCAUCUUCUUCUAAUUCAGUAACUCUAGUCCAACAAAGAUCCCCAGUUGUGAAGGUCUAAAUAUGUUUUAAUGUCUCUAAGCCCUUCGGUGUUCUAGUUGAUCGUAUUGCACUGGGAAUACCUGUAAGUAUGAACUACUUUAAAUAUGCUUUCAGAUUUGUUACAAGAGUUGCUUUCUAAAUUAUGUAUGUGGUCAUUAAGAUGCAAUAUAUUUGAACCAAAUGGUUGGAGGAAGUAAAUCUGUGAAUUUUUUGUCUAAGUGGUUGAUGUUGGUUAUUAAGGGCUUUAGUUAGGGGUGGGAGGAUAGAAUAUUAUUGUUUAAUCAAUGUUGUUAUCUUUGCAAGAGUUAAUGGUGAAUUAAUUAUGCAAGGAUGGAGAACACCAUUGCACAUAUCAUUUCUUCAUGUCUGAGCAUCAUCUUCUCUCCUUUUAUUACAAUCAACCAUUUCUUCUUGGUGGUUCAUGCCGUGGCGCUGGAACCAGGACUAUUUUAUCUUAUUAAUACAGGUACACCUAUGGUUUUUGGCACAAUAUGCAGCAACCUUCAAAAUGGUGUAGAGUACAAGAACUCAAAGGAUGUUUUAAGAGAUGUGCAGCAUAUCUGGGAUCAGUGUCAUAAGUAUAAUAGAAAAGGCCAUGUUUUGGAGCUCAUGAAGCAGGUGAAGAAAAGUUUCACAUAGUUAUGGACAGAAGUUGGGUUAUACUGGGAACAAUUGCUUCAAUUUGUUUUUCUUUUGGGUUUCUAUUUGUAUUGUGCUGUUUCUUUUAAUUGUCCUUUGGGUUUCUGUUUCUAUAGUAUUUUCUUUUUCUUUCUGUGAUUGUAUGUUUUUGCAUCAAUGGGAGUAAAAACAAUGAGUAAAUGAUAGAAUUUUUUCUGAAGAUUUUGUACUUUUGUAUUAGACUUGCAGAUGAAUUCAACCCUUUUUCUGUUGAAAUUGGUUGAAAGUUGCUGUAAUUUAUCAACAGCUGAAAGUUGCUGUUUAAAGCCCCGAUUUUACUGAGAGAAUAACUGGUCUCUUACGGCUAUAUUGAAUGUUUUCAGUAGCCGCUUUCACUUUUGUGUGUGAUCGGUUAUUAAGGUUCUGAGAUUGUGUUGGUGAAUUUUGCAAUCAUGUUAACAAUUCUGACCUAGCAUUUCAACU
Long non-coding RNA from Diospyros lotus (date-plum), 1910 nucleotides. RefSeq lists it as uncharacterized. Lineage: Eukaryota; Viridiplantae; Streptophyta; Magnoliopsida; Ericales; Ebenaceae. The record is from RefSeq and is a predicted model, not a curated record. The transcript has 3 exons.